GGGUUGUGAGGUUAAGCGACUAAGCGUACACGGUGGAUGCCCUGGCAGUCAGAGGCGAUGAAGGGCGUGCUAAUCUGCGAUAAGCGCCGGUAAGGUGAUAUGAACCGUUAUAACCGGCGAUACCCGAAUGGGGAAACCCAGUGUGAUUCGUCACACUAUCAUUAACUGAAUCCAUAGGUUAAUGAGGCGAACCGGGGGAACUGAAACAUCUAAGUACCCCGAGGAAAAGAAAUCAACCGAGAUUCCCCCAGUAGCGGCGAGCGAACGGGGAGGAGCCCAGAGCCUGAAUCAGCAUGUGUGUUAGUGGAAGCGUCUGGAAAGGCGCGCGAUACAGGGUGACAGCCCCGUACACAAAAGCGCAUGUGCUGUGAGCUCGAUGAGUAGGGCGGGACACGUGGUAUCCUGUCUGAAUAUGGGGGGACCAUCCUCCAAGGCUAAAUACUCCUGACUGACCGAUAGUGAACCAGUACCGUGAGGGAAAGGCGAAAAGAACCCCGGCGAGGGGAGUGAAAAAGAACCUGAAACCGUGUACGUACAAGCAGUGGGAG
Molecule: ribosomal RNA, 548 nt
Filed under: Salmonella enterica subsp. enterica serovar Typhimurium
Lineage: Bacteria; Pseudomonadati; Pseudomonadota; Gammaproteobacteria; Enterobacterales; Enterobacteriaceae
Also listed under: 2 other names
Description: bacterial LSU rRNA
Rfam family: Bacterial large subunit ribosomal RNA
Source: RNAcentral